UGGUGGGCCCCGCGCCCCGCUCCCCCUCCUCCCUUCCCUCCCACAGGUGCGUGGCAGACCCGCUGCUCCGCUGUACUAGCAAUAAUAAAACAAUUUCAUCAGAGAGCAAAAAUCCGACAAGCAAUCGCCUCGCUGCUCACUGGUCAAACCAAACCUGAUUAGGUGAGGUCACAGUGGAGGAUUAGAAGGGGAGGCCUUGCGGAUUCGGUUGCGUCUCUUCUCCGACUCGUCGUGGUUGAGUUUUUUGAUCGGGGGUGAUUGAUCCGUGCUCGGGCCGUGUUGCUGUGGUGUGCUGCAGGGAGG
Molecule: long non-coding RNA, 303 nt
Filed under: Setaria italica (foxtail millet)
Lineage: Eukaryota; Viridiplantae; Streptophyta; Magnoliopsida; Poales; Poaceae
Description: long non-coding RNA (SITA_LNC002603)
Source: RNAcentral